RNAcentral lists this ribosomal RNA (292 nucleotides) under uncultured Bacteroidota bacterium. Its description in RNAcentral is "uncultured Bacteroidetes bacterium partial 16S ribosomal RNA". The record is from RNAcentral. Lineage: Bacteria; Pseudomonadati; Bacteroidota.
GGACUACAAGGGUAUCUAAUCCUGUUUGAUCCCCACGCUUUCGUGCUUCAGCGUCAGUAGUACUUUAGUAAGCUGCCUACGCAAUCGGGGUUCUGUGUGAUAUCUAUGCAUUUCACCGCUACACCACACAUUCCGCCUACUUCAUGUACACUCAAGACCGACAGUUUCAACGGCAGUUUCCCGGUUAAGCCGGAAUAUUUCACCGCUGACUUAUCAGCCCGCCUACGCACCCUUUAAACCCAAUAAAUCCGGAUAACGCUCGGAUCCUCCGUAUUACCGCGGCUGCUGGCAC